UACGAAGGGGGCAAGCGUUAUUCGGAUUUAUUGGGCGUAAAGGGCGUGUAGGCGGCUCGGCAAGUCUGGUGUGAAAACGCUACCGCUCAACGGAGCGAAUGCGCUGGAUACUGCCGAACUUGAGUUCAGAAGAGGUGGGCGGAAUACCUGGUGUAGCGGUGGAAUGCGUAGAGAUCAGGGAGAACACCCGAGGCGAAGGCGGCCCACUGGUCUGACACUGACGAUGAGGCGCGAAAGCGUGGGGAUCAAACGGG
This 254-nucleotide ribosomal RNA is filed under the name uncultured bacterium. RNAcentral describes it as "partial 16S ribosomal RNA". It matches the Rfam family "Bacterial small subunit ribosomal RNA", at positions 524 to 776 of the family's 1533-position model. The record is from RNAcentral.